AGUCCUAACUAUAUGAUUUAUUU
RNAcentral lists this small nuclear RNA (23 nucleotides) under Arabidopsis thaliana (thale cress). RNAcentral's name for it is "snRNA_04806". Lineage: Eukaryota; Viridiplantae; Streptophyta; Magnoliopsida; Brassicales; Brassicaceae. The record is from RNAcentral.